This 107-nucleotide small nucleolar RNA is filed under the name Gossypium arboreum. RNAcentral's name for it is "Plant small nucleolar RNA R71". It matches the Rfam family "Plant small nucleolar RNA R71". Rfam says of the family: R71 is a member of the C/D box family of snoRNAs containing the C (UGAUGA) and D (CUGA) box motifs. Multiple nearly identical copies of this snoRNA have been identified in Arabidopsis, and it is thought to function as a 2'-O-ribose methylation guide for 18S ribosomal RNA. The record is from Rfam by way of RNAcentral. Lineage: Eukaryota; Viridiplantae; Streptophyta; Magnoliopsida; Malvales; Malvaceae.
AACCCAUGUUGAGGGAACCUUCUCAGUAAGUCCUAGUAUCUUUCUCAUGCAUCGUAAAGUGUUUCUAAAUCCAUCUACACAAAAUAAGAGAUAUCAUUACGUAAUUU